Molecule: ribosomal RNA, 253 nt
Filed under: uncultured bacterium
Lineage: Bacteria
Description: partial 16S ribosomal RNA
Rfam family: Bacterial small subunit ribosomal RNA
Source: RNAcentral
UACGUAGGGUGCGAGCGUUGUCCGGAAUUAUUGGGCGUAAAGAGCUUGUAGGCGGUUUGUCGCGUCUGCUGUGAAAAUCCGGGGCUCAACCCCGGACUUGCAGUGGGUACGGGCAGACUAGAGUGCAGAAGGGGCAACUGGAAUUCUCGGUGUAGCGGUGAAAUGCGUAGAUAUCGAGAGGAACACCUGCGGCGAAGGCGGGUUGCUGGGCUGACACUGACGCUGAGGCGCGAAAGCUAGGGGAGCGAUCGGG